UUAAAUUGAAGAGUUUGAUCAUGGCUCAGAUUGAACGCUGGCGGCAGGCCUAACACAUGCAAGUCGAACGGUAACAGGAAGCAGCUUGCUGCUUUGCUG
This 99-nucleotide ribosomal RNA is filed under the name Klebsiella aerogenes. RNAcentral's name for it is "partial 16S ribosomal RNA". It matches the Rfam family "Bacterial small subunit ribosomal RNA", at positions 1 to 93 of the family's 1533-position model. Lineage: Bacteria; Pseudomonadati; Pseudomonadota; Gammaproteobacteria; Enterobacterales; Enterobacteriaceae. The record is from RNAcentral. RNAcentral also lists the same sequence under 14 other names.